RNAcentral lists this ribosomal RNA (769 nucleotides) under uncultured Actinomycetes bacterium. RNAcentral describes it as "bacterial SSU rRNA". It matches the Rfam family "Bacterial small subunit ribosomal RNA", at positions 116 to 896 of the family's 1533-position model. The record is from RNAcentral. Lineage: Bacteria; Bacillati; Actinomycetota; Actinomycetes.
CGUGGGUGAUCUGCCUUGCACUUCGGGAUAAGCCUGGGAAACUGGGUCUAAUACCGGAUAGGACCAUGCUUUAGUGUGUGUGGUGGAAAGUUUUUCGGUGCAAGAUGAGCCCGCGGCCUAUCAGCUUGUUGGUGGGGUAAUGGCCUACCAAGGCGACGACGGGUAGCCGGCCUGAGAGGGUGUACGGCCACAUUGGGACUGAGACACGGCCCAGACUCCUACGGGAGGCAGCAGUGGGGAAUAUUGCACAAUGGGCGCAAGCCUGAUGCAGCGACGCCGCGUGGGGGAUGAAGGCCUUCGGGUUGUAAACCCCUUUCGCUAGGGAAGAAGCCUUUUUGGUGACGGUACCUGGAUAAGAAGCACCGGCUAACUACGUGCCAGCAGCCGCGGUAAUACGUAGGGUGCGAGCGUUGUCCGGAAUUACUGGGCGUAAAGAGCUCGUAGGUGGUUUGUCGCGUCGUCUGUGAAAUCCCGGGGCUUAACUUCGGGCGUGCAGGCGAUACGGGCAUAACUAGAGUGCUGUAGGGGAGACUGGAAUUCCUGGUGUAGCGGUGAAAUGCGCAGAUAUCAGGAGGAACACCGAUGGCGAAGGCAGGUCUCUGGGCAGUUACUGACGCUGAGGAGCGAAAGCAUGGGUAGCGAACAGGAUUAGAUACCCUGGUAGUCCAUGCCGUAAACGGUGGGCGCUAGGUGUGGGGGUUUUAUUUACGAUUCCCGUGCCGUAGCUAACGCAUUAAGCGCCCCGCCUGGGGAGUACGCCGCAAGGCUA